RNAcentral lists this ribosomal RNA (468 nucleotides) under uncultured bacterium. RNAcentral's name for it is "partial 16S ribosomal RNA". It matches the Rfam family "Bacterial small subunit ribosomal RNA", at positions 28 to 507 of the family's 1533-position model. The record is from RNAcentral.
GACGAACGCUGGCGGCGUGCUUAACACAUGCAAGUCGAACGGAAAGGCCCUGCUUUUGUGGGGUGCUCGAGUGGCGAACGGGUGAGUAACACGUGAGUAACCUGCCCUUGACUUUGGGAUAACUUCAGGAAACUGGGUCUAAUACCGGAUAGGAGCUCCUGCUGCUUGGUGGGGGUUGGAAAGUUUCGGCGGUUGGGGAUGGACUCGCGGCUUAUCAGCUUGUUGGUGGGGUAGUGGCUUACCAAGGCUUUGACGGGUAGCCGGCCUGGGAGGGGGACCGGCCACAUUGGGACUGGGAUGCGGCCCAGACUCCUACGGGAGGAAGCAGUGGGGAAUAUUGCACAAUGGGCGGAAGCCUGAUGCAGCAACGCCGCGUGGGGGAUGACGGCCUUCGGGUUGUAAACCGCUUUCGCCUGUGACGAGGCGUGAGUGACGGUAAUGGGUAAAGAAGCACCGGCUAACUACGUG